Molecule: transfer RNA, 95 nt
Filed under: Chloroflexota bacterium
Lineage: Bacteria; Bacillati; Chloroflexota
Description: Chloroflexi bacterium tRNA-Ile
Rfam family: tRNA
About the family: Transfer RNA (tRNA) molecules are approximately 80 nucleotides in length. Their secondary structure includes four short double-helical elements and three loops (D, anti-codon, and T loops).
Source: RNAcentral
CGUGGAGGCGUGGCGUAACUGGUCUCAACGCAACCGUCUAAUAAACGGUCUGGCUGACGCGAGUGGGUCCGUGGGUUCGAUUCCCACCGCCACGG